UGGGGAAUUUUGGACAAUGGGGGAAACCCUGAUCCAGCCAUCCCGCGUGUGCGAUGAAGGCCUUCGGGUUGUAAAGCACUUUUGGCAGGAAAGAAACGUCAUGGGUUAAUACCCCGUGAAACUGACGGUACCUGCAGAAUAAGCACCGGCUAACUACGUGCCAGCAGCCGCGGUAAUACGUAGGGUGCAAGCGUUAAUCGGAAUUACUGGGCGUAAAGCGUGCGCAGGCGGUUCGGAAAGAAAGAUGUGAAAUCCCAGAGCUCAACUUUGGAACUGCAUUUUUAACUACCGGGCUAGAGUGUGUCAGAGGGAGGUGGAAUUCCGCGUGUAGGAGUGAAAUGCGUAGAUAUGCGGAGGAACACCGAUGGCGAAGGCAGCCUCCUGGGAUAACACUGACGCUCAUGCACGAAAGCGUGGGGAGCAAACAGG
This 429-nucleotide ribosomal RNA is filed under the name Acidobacteriota bacterium. RNAcentral describes it as "Acidobacteria bacterium partial 16S ribosomal RNA". It matches the Rfam family "Bacterial small subunit ribosomal RNA", at positions 355 to 776 of the family's 1533-position model. Lineage: Bacteria; Pseudomonadati; Acidobacteriota. The record is from RNAcentral.